ACUCCUACGGGGGGCAGCAGUGAGGAAUAUUGGUCAAUGGAGGCAACUCUGAACCAGCCAUGCCGCGUGCAGGAAGACUGCCCUAUGGGUUGUAAACUGCUUUUAUACAGGUAGAAACAGAACUACGUGUAGCGCGGUGACGGUACCGUAAGAAUAAGGAUCGGCUAACUCCGUGCCAGCAGCCGCGGUAA
RNAcentral lists this ribosomal RNA (191 nucleotides) under uncultured Tenacibaculum sp. RNAcentral's name for it is "partial 16S ribosomal RNA". It matches the Rfam family "Bacterial small subunit ribosomal RNA", at positions 335 to 523 of the family's 1533-position model. Lineage: Bacteria; Pseudomonadati; Bacteroidota; Flavobacteriia; Flavobacteriales; Flavobacteriaceae. The record is from RNAcentral.